RNAcentral lists this transfer RNA (74 nucleotides) under Nitrososphaeria archaeon. Its description in RNAcentral is "tRNA-Lys". It matches the Rfam family "tRNA". Rfam says of the family: Transfer RNA (tRNA) molecules are approximately 80 nucleotides in length. Their secondary structure includes four short double-helical elements and three loops (D, anti-codon, and T loops). The record is from RNAcentral. Lineage: Archaea; Thermoproteati; Nitrososphaerota; Nitrososphaeria.
GGGCCUGUAGCUCAGCCAGGUAGAGCAUCGGACUUUUAAUCCGAGGGUCGAGGGUCCGAAUCCCCCCAGGCCCG